This 695-nucleotide ribosomal RNA is filed under the name uncultured Bacteroidales bacterium. RNAcentral's name for it is "bacterial SSU rRNA". It matches the Rfam family "Bacterial small subunit ribosomal RNA", at positions 32 to 715 of the family's 1533-position model. The record is from RNAcentral. Lineage: Bacteria; Pseudomonadati; Bacteroidota; Bacteroidia; Bacteroidales.
AACGCUAGCUACAGGCUUAACACAUGCAAGUCGAGGGGCAGCAUUUUAGUUUGCUUGCAAACUGAAGAUGGCGACCGGCGCACGGGUGAGUAACACGUAUCCAACCUACCGAUAACUCCGGAAUAGCCUUUCGAAAGAAAGAUUAAUACCGGAUAGCAUACGAAUAUCGCAUGAUAUUUUUAUUAAAGAAUUUCGGUUAUCGAUGGGGAUGCGUUCCAUUAGUUUGUUGGCGGGGUAACGGCCCACCAAGACUACGAUGGAUAGGGGUUCUGAGAGGAAGGUCCCCCACAUUGGAACUGAGACACGGUCCAAACUCCUACGGGAGGCAGCAGUGAGGAAUAUUGGUCAAUGGGCGAGAGCCUGAACCAGCCAAGUAGCGUGAAGGAUGAAGGCUCUAUGGGUCGUAAACUUCUUUUAUAUGGGAAUAAAGUUUUCCACGUGUGGAAUUUUGUAUGUACCAUAUGAAUAAGGAUCGGCUAACUCCGUGCCAGCAGCUGCGGUAAUACGGAGGAUCCGAGCGUUAUCCGGAUUUAUUGGGUUUAAAGGGAGCGUAGGUGGAUUGUUAAGUCAGUUGUGAAAGUUUGCGGCUCAACCGUAAAAUUGCAGUUGAAACUGGCAGUCUUGAGUACAGUAGAGGUGGGCGGAAUUCGUGGUGUAGCGGUGAAAUGCUUAGAUAUCACGAAGAACUCCGAUUG